UCCAGUUGAUCCUGCUGGAGGUCACUGCUAUCUGGUUGGGAAUUAGGUAUGCAAGUCAGGGAACUAGGCUGAUAGUUCCCGGCGUACGGCUCAGUAACACGUAGACAACCUGCCCUCAGGAAGUGGAUAACCUCGGGAAACUGAGGACAAUACACUAUAGAAAAUAGGUACUGGAAUGUCCUAUUUUCCAAAGGAACUAAGACUCAUGCUGUUUUAGUUUGCCUGAGGAUGGGUCUGCGGCCUAUCAGGCAGUUGGUGGGGUAACGGCCCACCAAACCUCAGACGGGUACGGGCCAUGAGAGUGGGAGCCCGGAGAAGGGCACUGAGACAAGGGCCCUGGCCCUACGGGGUGCAGCAAUCGCGAAAAUUUCCCAAUGCGCGCAAGCGUGAGGAAGCCAGCCAGAGUGCCUUACCAUUGGUAAGGCUUUUUUGAGAGUGUAAACAGCUCUCAGAAUAAGGGGUGGGCAAUACCGGUGCCAGCAGCCGCGGUAAUCCCGGAGCCCCGAGUGGUGACCAUGUUUAUUGGGCCUAAAGCGUCCGUAGCCGGACUGGAAAGUCUUUGGUGAAAUCCUUCCUCAUAAGGGAAGGGCGUGCUGAAGAUACUAUUAGUCUAGGAACCGGGAGGGGGUGGAAGUAUUUCUGGGGUAAGGGUUAAAUCUUAUAAUCCCAGAAAGACUACCGGUGGCGAAGGCGUCCACCUGGAACGGGUUCGACGGUGAGGGACGAAAGCCAAGGUAGCGAACCGGAUUAGAUACCCGGGUAGUCUUGGCCGUAAACGCUGCCCACUAGGUGUUGCAUGUUCUUCGUGAGCAUGCAGUGCCGUAGCGAAGGCGUUAAGUGGGCCGCCUGGGGAGUACGAUCGCAAGGUUGAAACUUAAAGGAAUUGGCGGGGGAGCACAACAAGGGGUGAAGCUUGCGGUUCAAUUGGAUUCAACCCCGGGAACCUCACCAGGGGCGACAGCAGUAUGAAGGCCAGUCUGAAGGGCUUGCCGGACGCGCUGAGCGGAGGUGCAUGGCCAUCGUCAGCUCGUGCCGUGAGGUGUCCUCUUAAGUGAGGCAACGAGCGAGACCCUCAUUUCCUGUUGCUACCCAUUCCUUCGGGGAUGGAGCACUCUGGAAAGACUGCCUGCGUAAGCAGGAGGAAGGUGAGGGCUACGAUAGGUCAGUAUGCCCCUAAUCCCCUGGGCUACACGCGAGCUGCAAUGGUCAGGACAAAGGGACGCAACCCCGAAAGGGGAAGCAAAUCCCCCAAACCUGAUCUUAGUUCGGAUCGAGGGCUGCAACUCGCCCUCGUGAAGGUGGAAUCCCUAGUAACCGCAAAUCAAAAAUUUGCGGUGAAUGAGUCCCUGCUCCUUGCACACACCGCCCAUCAAGCCACCCGAAUUUGGUUGGGAUGAGGCUUUAUCAGUGGUAGAGUCGAAUCUUGGCUAGGUAAGGGGGGUUAAGUUGACACAAGGUA
RNAcentral lists this ribosomal RNA (1459 nucleotides) under metagenome. RNAcentral describes it as "bacterial SSU rRNA". It matches the Rfam family "Archaeal small subunit ribosomal RNA". The record is from RNAcentral.